AUUGAACGCUGGCGGCAUGCUUUACACAUGCAAGUCGAACGGCAGCACGGGCUUCGGCCUGGUUGCGCGUGGCGAACGGGUGAGUAAUAUAUCUGAACGUCCCCAGAAGUGGGUGAUAACGUAGCGAAAGUUACGCUAAUACCGCAUACGAUCUGUGGAUGAAAGACGGGGAGCGCAAGGCCUUUUGCUCCUGGGGCGGCCGAUAUCGGAUUAGCUAGUUGGUGAGGUAAAGGCUCACCAAGGCGACGAUCCGUAGCUGGUCUGAGAGGACGACCAGCCGCACUGGAACUGAGACACGGUCCAGACUCCUACGGGAGGCAGCAGUGGGGAAUUUUGGACAAUGGGCGCAAGCCUGAUCCAGCAAUGCCGCGUGAGUGAAGAAGGCCUUCGGGUUGUAAAGCUCUUUUGUCAGGGAAGAAACGGUAGAGGCUAAUAUCCUUUGCUAAUGACGGUACCUGAAGAAUAAGCACCGGCUAACUACGUG
Molecule: ribosomal RNA, 484 nt
Filed under: uncultured bacterium
Lineage: Bacteria
Description: partial 16S ribosomal RNA
Rfam family: Bacterial small subunit ribosomal RNA
Source: RNAcentral